Molecule: ribosomal RNA, 556 nt
Filed under: uncultured bacterium
Lineage: Bacteria
Description: bacterial SSU rRNA
Rfam family: Bacterial small subunit ribosomal RNA
Source: RNAcentral
ACGGGUGAGUAACACGUGGGAACGUACCCUUUGGUUCGGAAUAACGCUGGGAAACUAGCGCUAAUACCGGAUACGCCCUUUUGGGGAAAGGCUUGCUGCCGAAGGAUCGGCCCGCGUCUGAUUAGCUAGUUGGUGGGGUAAUGGCCUACCAAGGCGACGAUCAGUAGCUGGUCUGAGAGGAUGAUCAGCCACACUGGGACUGAGACACGGCCCAGACUCCUACGGGAGGCAGCAGUGGGGAAUAUUGGACAAUGGGCGCAAGCCUGAUCCAGCCAUGCCGCGUGAGUGAUGAAGGCCUUAGGGUUGUAAAGCUCUUUUGUCCGGGACGAUAAUGACGGUACCGGAAGAAUAAGCCCCGGCUAACUUCGUGCCAGCAGCCGCGGUAAUACGAAGGGGGCUAGCGUUGCUCGGAAUCACUGGGCGUAAAGGGCGCGUAGGCGGCCAUUCAAGUCGGGGGUGAAAGCCCGUGGCUCAACCACAGAAUUGCCUUCGAUACUGUUUGGCUUGAGUUGGUAGAGGUUGGUGGAACUGCGAGUGUAGAGGUGAAAUUCGUAGA